GAGUUUGAUCCUGGCUCAGAUUGAACGCUGGCGGCAUGCCUUACACAUGCAAGUCGAACGGCAGCACGGGAGCUUGCUCCUGGUGGCGAGUGGCGAACGGGUGAGUAAUGCAUCGGAACGUAUCCUGGAGUGGGGGAUAACGUAGCGAAAGUUACGCUAAUACCGCAUAUUCUGUGAGCAGGAAAGCGGGGGACCUUCGGGCCUCGCGCUCUUGGAGCGGCCGAUGUCGGAUUAGCUAGUUGGUGAGGUAAAGGCUCACCAAGGCGACGAUCCGUAGCAGGUCUGAGAGGAUGAUCUGCCACACUGGAACUGAGACACGGUCCAGACUCCUACGGGAGGCAGCAGUGGGAAUUUUGGACAAUGGGGGCAACCCUGAUCCAGCCAUGCCGCGUGAGUGAAGAAGG
This 404-nucleotide ribosomal RNA is filed under the name bacterium enrichment culture clone ALO1_GLFRUDD03F5WSC. RNAcentral describes it as "bacterial SSU rRNA". It matches the Rfam family "Bacterial small subunit ribosomal RNA", at positions 9 to 414 of the family's 1533-position model. RNAcentral also lists the same sequence under 2 other names. The record is from RNAcentral.